This is a long non-coding RNA of Epinephelus moara (kelp grouper), 3134 nucleotides long. RefSeq lists it as uncharacterized. The record is from RefSeq and is a predicted model, not a curated record. The transcript has 4 exons. Lineage: Eukaryota; Metazoa; Chordata; Actinopteri; Perciformes; Serranidae.
CUGCUCACACGCAGCAGAUGUAGACUUGAGUUUGCAAAAAUGAUUACCUGACAAAUGUGGCAGAUGUUGCAGCUGGAGAGCUUUGACAUUGCAGUUUGGGCAGUCUCCACUGGGCCUCUGGAUCCUGCAGGAGACACCGUAAGCCACCACUGGAAAUGACUGGUAGCAGGGGGCUGGAGCCUAUCUCGGCUGUCACUGGGCAGGAGGCGGAGUACAUCCUGCGCUGACACACAGAGACAGACAACCAUUCACGCUCACAUUCACACCUAUGGCCAAUUUAGAGUGCUGUAUCCUGUCUCUGGACUAUGGAAGGAGGUCGGAGAACACUAACGCUGGAAGAACAUGCAAACUCCACCUGGAUUGGAACCUGAAACUCUGUUGCAGUGAGGAGCCCAGCUUGUUACAUCAUCCAGAGGGGAGUUUAUCAGCAACUGAUCAGCAGAAGCCUGAAGACUCUCAAAGGCUGUUUUGUCUUCCUCUUGCCUGAAACUCCCUGAACCCACAGAUUACCUUCCAGCCAUGGGUAUUUGUUUACCGUGGCCUGAAUUUGCAAGUCUUUAUCAUGGCUGCCUGCCGUCACUGAGGGGAAGUGCUUUACAGGCAGUGUAUCAGUGCCAGGAGGAGAAGAAGCGCACAGCAGAAAAGGCAGAGACGGUUCAGCAAAAAAACAACUUUUCGUGAAACUAUGCUGGCAAGAAAUGCAGCAAUGGCUUGGUGAAGAACAACUGCUUUGUGUGUCACUAUCUUUGGAAGAAACACAGCGAUGGGUUGCUAAGGAACACCCCCAUUUUUUGGCUAAAAAGCUGGUGGGAACGCAGCAAGGACUUGCUAAAACCAACCAGAUUUGUGGUUGGUCUUGAACAGUGGCCUCCAGUGGUCUGCAGCUUGGUAAACAUGUCGCCUAGGUGACAUGCCAUCCACCAUUCCCUCCACCUCCCAAUGGCAGUCAGCUCAGACAUUACAUAACUUUGAGAAGCUUGUAUAUGAUACAUAUGAAACUUACAAAUGUAAUGUAUUAGUGGUUGCAGAAAUGUGCAGUGUUUCUUGAGGUGACAGGGCUGCCUGAACCCAGCAAGUAAGAAGAGAAUUAUACAGGCAGAGGGCAGGUAAAUACACUGCCACACACUUGUAGUGGGUCGUAAGUGAUGAUUGAAAGAGAUUAUUUCUGUAUGAGUCUUUAGGCUACUAGAGUCUGUUAGAAAUAGCAACAGACAGAGAAUUCAGGGUUUAUAUUUUUCUUGCAGUCUACAAAACUUUCUUAUAUGGACUUCUUGACAUUGGAUUAAGCAGGACAACCACUAAGACAGGAGCAGCCCUCUGGAACAGCACCCAGGCCUCUUCAUCACCAGCAUAUUCCGACGAUGAGCGCUGGCCAACCACAGGAUCCUGGCCUGUCUCCCAGCCAGCCCCGCUAAUUAGUCCCCCUCUUCUGAGCUAAUUGGCCGAUAAAAAAUGAGGAUGGCCUCUUCACCCAGCCGGAGUGUUUUGCCACCAAAUGGCAGUGGGGAGGAUUAUGCGGGCUUAUGAGGCAUGGUGACACUCAGUGAGAACCACUCCUCUGCUAUUAAUUUCCUUGUCAAGGGGGUCGCCUCUGCUGUGUCACUUUGGGUUUUUUAGCGGAUAGAAGAAAACUUUAGUCCGGGGUUGACUUCCAGCAAGUUACACUCAUGAAAUGCCUUUGCAUCUUAAAUGUUUUGCUGUGUUAGUUUAUGGUACGAAUUAACAAUGAGAUCAUUCAUGUGAGCAGAUGCUGAGUCUUGUAGGCGGUAUCAGUGUUACAACAUGUUACAGGCAAAGUGCACAGGGCUUAUCUUACUUUUGUGGCUUUUGAUUUUUUUGCACUGGCGGGACUGUGGGUUAGUGAUUCUGGAUUCCACAUGAAAGGCUGUCUGCAGCAGCCCAUGCCAAAAAAAUUAAGAAUAAAAAAUCUGGAUGUAGCAUCGUGGAAGUCUGGUGGUUGAGACACAAUACCACAUGAGUAACAUCGCCGGUUUGAUUCCAGCUGUGGCCCUUUGUUCCAUGUUACACCUCUUUCUUUCUCUCUCCUCAUUUCCUGUCUGUCUCUAAGGGCGUAGGUUUUGUUUCAACAUGGGGGCGGGCACAUAUGAAAUGAGUGGUUUGGCAAUCCUUUACCAGAACAUUUUGAGCAUCAAACACUUAAUUUCCUGCAUUCUGGUCAAUCUUUUUGAUGCACCAGUUUGGGCCUUUUAUGCAUCAAUUUAUAGUGAAAAUGUCUUUUCUCAGAUUAUUAUAAUACUGUAUUAUACAUUACAGUGCUAGUCUCCGACUUGGUCCUCUGGAUUGUCAUAUUAUAAAUAUCAAACACAAGAGGCUCUUCAGUUUUUUUGACUUUUGCUGCCAGGAAGAAUAUUUUGCGCUUUUGGAUCAAGGAUGCUGCUCCAACAAGAAAAAGUUGUGGCACAAUCUUAUAAUGCAGUGUGUUCCCAAUGAAUAUAUCUCUGGUAUGCUUCAUUUCUCGGUGGGUGCUUUUAUAAAGUUUGGCUGUCAUCUUUCAUAUUACAAGGGUUUCCUUAAUCUGCUUCGCCAGUCUCUGUAUGUUUCCUGUAAAUCAGUCUUUCUGUAACCUUGUUAUUUGUCUAUAUAACCAGUUAAUCUAUUUUGAUGCUGCCUCUGUGAUGUAGGGAUGGGGAUGGAUAUAAUGCCCACUAUUUCUUUCUUAUUUCUAGCUACUCAUUGGUGAUGUCAUGUCAAAGAAAGAAAGAACAUUACUAACAAAUAAAUGAAUGAAUAAAUGAUAUGUGCACCACUCAGUAUAUGCUGAAUAUGAAAAGAAAAUGCUUAACUUAUGCUCAUGAAUACUGGAAACUGGCCCAGAGACCCAAAGAGUCAGGGGGCCCCCUGGCCCUCAUUUGCAAAAUGUCAAAUGUCAAAUUUUAUUUAUUUAUUUUGCCUUUAUUUAACCAGGUCUGUCCCACUGAGAUCGAAAAUCUCUUUUUAUAAGGGAGACCUGGCCAAGAACAGCAGCAACACAGAAUUUAAACAACAAAUAAAAUUAACAUAAAAGCUCAUGGAUUUGAAUAACAUAGAAUAAUUCGAUUUCAUCAUGGUUUUAAACUCAUUCAAGGUCACCAUGUGUUGAAGCUGAAGAUCAUUUUGCAGACUGUAACACGUAC